RNAcentral lists this transfer RNA (72 nucleotides) under Urocitellus parryii (Arctic ground squirrel). RNAcentral's name for it is "Spermophilus parryii (Arctic ground squirrel) tRNA". It matches the Rfam family "tRNA". From Rfam's summary of the family: Transfer RNA (tRNA) molecules are approximately 80 nucleotides in length. Their secondary structure includes four short double-helical elements and three loops (D, anti-codon, and T loops). Further hydrogen bonds mediate the characteristic L-shaped molecular structure. tRNAs have two regions of fundamental functional importance: the anti-codon, which is responsible for specific mRNA codon recognition, and the 3' end, to which the tRNAs corresponding amino acid is attached (by aminoacyl-tRNA synthetases). tRNAs cope with the degeneracy of the genetic code in two manners: having more than one tRNA (with a specific anti-codon) for a particular amino acid; and 'wobble' base-pairing, i.e. permitting non-standard base-pairing at the 3rd anti-codon position. Lineage: Eukaryota; Metazoa; Chordata; Mammalia; Rodentia; Sciuridae. The record is from Rfam by way of RNAcentral. RNAcentral also lists the same sequence under 1 other name.
GGGGUUGUGGCUCAGUGGUAGAGUGCUUGCCUAGCAUGUGUGAGGCACUGGGUUCAAUUCUCAGCACCGCAA